This 253-nucleotide ribosomal RNA is filed under the name uncultured bacterium. Its description in RNAcentral is "partial 16S ribosomal RNA". It matches the Rfam family "Bacterial small subunit ribosomal RNA", at positions 524 to 776 of the family's 1533-position model. The record is from RNAcentral.
UACGGAGGGUGCAAGCGUUGUCCGGAAUCACUGGGCGUAAAGGGCGCGUAGGCGGCUCAUGAAGGCUGUGGUGAAAGUCCGGGGCUCAACCUCGGAUCGGCCGUGGCGACUCGUGGGCUGGAGCACUGUAGAGGCGGGUGGAAUUCCGGGUGUAGCGGUGGAAUGCGUAGAGAUCCGGAAGAACACCAGUGGCGAAGGCGGGUCUCUGGGCAGUAACUGACGCUGAGGAGCGAAAGCGUGGGGAGCGAACAGG